Molecule: ribosomal RNA, 497 nt
Filed under: uncultured bacterium
Lineage: Bacteria
Description: partial 16S ribosomal RNA
Rfam family: Bacterial small subunit ribosomal RNA
Source: RNAcentral
GAUGAACGCUGGCGGCGUGCCUAAUACAUGCAAGUCGAGCGAACAGACGAGGAGCUUGCUCCUCUGACGUUAGCGGCGGACGGGUGAGUAACACGUGGAUAACCUACCUAUAAGACUGGGAUAACUUCGGGAAACCGGAGCUAAUACCGGAUAAUAUAUUUAACCACAUGGUUCAAUAGUGAAAGACGGUUUUGCUGUCACUUAUAGAUGGAUCCGGGCGUCAUUAGCUAGUUGGUAAGGUAACGGCUUACCAAGGCAACGAGGCGUAGCCGACCUGAGAGGGGGAUCGCCCACAUGGGAACUGAGACACGGUCCAGACUCCUACGGGAGGCAGCAGAAGGGAAUGUUCCGCAAUGGGCGAAAGCCUGACGGAGCAACGCCGCGUGAGUGAUGAAAGUCUUCGGAUCGUAAAACUCUGUUAUUAGGGAAGAACAAAUGUGUAAGUAACUAUGCACGUCUUGACGGUACCUAAUCAGAAAGCCACGGCUAACUACGUG